This 440-nucleotide ribosomal RNA is filed under the name uncultured bacterium. Its description in RNAcentral is "partial 16S ribosomal RNA". It matches the Rfam family "Bacterial small subunit ribosomal RNA", at positions 338 to 795 of the family's 1533-position model. The record is from RNAcentral.
CCUACGGGGGGCUGCAGUGGGGAAUAUUGCACAAUGGGGGAAACCCUGAUGCAGCGACGCCGCGUGCAUGAAGAAGUAUUUCGGUACGUAAAGCUCUAUCAGCAGGGAAAAAAAUGACGGUUCCUGACUAAGAAGCCCCUGCUAACUACGUGCCAACAGCCGCGGAAAUACGUAGGGGCCAAGCCUUAUCCGGAUUUGCUGGGUGUAUAGGGAGCGUAGACGGGAGCGCAAGUCUGAAGUGAAAUCCCAUGGCUUAACCAUGGAACUGCUUUGGAAACUGUGCAGCUGGAGUGCAGGAGGGGUAAGCGGAAUUCCUAGUGUAGCGGUGAAAUGCGUAGAUAUUAGGAAGAACACCAGUGGCGAAGGCGGCUUACUGGACUGUAACUGACGCUGAGGCUCGAAAGCGUGGGGAGCAAACAGGAUUAGAUACCCGAGUAGUC